This 563-nucleotide ribosomal RNA is filed under the name uncultured bacterium. RNAcentral describes it as "partial 16S ribosomal RNA". It matches the Rfam family "Bacterial small subunit ribosomal RNA", at positions 355 to 902 of the family's 1533-position model. The record is from RNAcentral.
UGGGGAAUUUUGGACAAUGGGCGAAAGCCUGAUCCAGCAAUGCCGCGUGUGUGAAGAAGGCCUUCGGGUUGUAAAGCACUUUUGUCCGGAAAGAAAUCCUUGGCUCUAAUACAGUCGGGGGAUGACGGUACCGGAAGAAUAAGCACCGGCUAACUACGUGCCAGCAGCCGCGGUAAUACGUAGGGUGCAAGCGUUAAUCGGAAUUACUGGGCGUAAAGCGUGCGCAGGCGGUUUGCUAAGACCGAUGUGAAAUCCCCGGGCUCAACCUGGGAACUGCAUUGGUGACUGGCAGGCUAGAGUAUGGCAGGAGGGGGGUAGAAUUCCACGUGUAGCAGUGAAAUGCGUAGAGAUGUGGAGGAAUACCGAUGGCGAAAGGCAGCCCCCUGGGCCAAAUACCGACGCUCAUGCACGAAAAGCGUGGGGAGCAAAACAGGAUUAGAUACCCUGGUAGUCCACGCCCUAAAACGAUGUCAACUAGUUGUUGGGGAUUCAUUUCCUUAGUAACGUAGCUAACGCGUGAAGUUGACCGCCUGGGGGAGUACGGUCGCAAAGAUUAAAAACUC